UGAAACGACGUGGGUGAUGGGUGGUUGCUGCAACGUGGGAACGUGCGGCGCUGAGGCUACUUGCUGCUUAGGCUUCUGUUAUCUUAGGCCAAUUGGGCCUUGUAAUUGGGUUAGGUUGUAUUUUGGCCUUUGGGUCAGUUUUAGUGAGUAUAGUUGGGCCCGGGCAAUAAUUGGGUAUUACAGCUGCCCCUCUUUGCUCGUUGUCAUGUAAUGGGAACAUAGCAAAGACUAAAAAAAUAGCCAAUUUUGCCCGGUCAUGUUGGACCUUGGCGCUAUUCAAGUAGCCUCAUCAACCUACUGCGUCUUCAGAGGUAUAAGAAUCGGUGCUUUAAUCCACUCCACUGCAACAUCAAGGAGAUAGGACUUGUACCCUGUAAUUUCUCAAAAGAACAAAAUUUGCUAUCUUUAGUCUGCUCCAUUGCAACUUCAGGGAGAUAUGACUUGUAGCUUCAAUUUAUUCCACUGAAAGUUGACGCGACCUGCUCCUUUGCAAUUCAUAGAGAUAAGAUCCGUGGUGUUAAUCCGCUCCACUGCAACUUUAGGGAAAUAGGAUUAUCUUCUUCAAUUUAUCCAAUUACAAUGUCGAGGAAACAAGAUCCGCCGUCAUCAGUCUACUCCACUACUGCUUAGGGAGAUAAGAUCUGUUAUUCUUCGAUCAAUUCCACUGUUGACCAGGGAGAUAGAAUUACUAGCUUCAAUGUACUUCACUGUAACCCCAGGGAGGUAAAAUCCGCCAUCUUCAAUCUGCUCCACUACCGCUUAGGGAAAUAAGAUCUGAAAUCUUCAAUCUAUUCCACUGCCAACCAGGGGGAUAGAAUUACGGCUUCAAUGUACUCCACUAUAACCUCAGGGAGGUAAAAUCUGCCAUCUUUGAUCUACUCUACUAAUGCCUAAGGAGAUAAGAUCUGAAAUCUUCAAUCUAUUCCACUGCCAACGAGGGAGAUAGAAUCUGAAAUCUUCAAUCUAUUCCACUGCCAACCAGGGAGAUAGAAUUACGGCUUCAAUGUACUCCACUGUAACCUCAGGGAGGUAAAAUCUGCCAUCUUUGAUCUACUCUACUAAUGCCUAAUGAGAUAAGAUCUGAAAUCUUCAAUCUAUUCUACUGCCAACCAGGGAGAUAGAAUCUGAACUCUUCAUAGAAUCUGAAAUCUUCAAUCUAUUCCACUGCCAACCAGGGAGAUAGAAUUACUGGCUUCAAUGUACUCCACUGUAACCUCAGGGAGGUAAAAUCUGCCAUCUUUGAUCUACUCUACUAAUGCCUAAGGAGAUAAGAUCUGAAAUCUUUAAUCUAUUCUACUGCCAACCAGGGAGAUAGAAUCUGAAAUCUUCAAUCUAUUCCACUGCCAACCAGGCAGAUAGAAUUACGGCUUCAAUGUACUCCACUGUAACCUCAGGGAGGUAAAAUCUGUCAUCUUUGAUCUACUCUACUAAUGCCUAGGGAGAUAAGAUCUGAAAUCUUCAAUCUAUUCCACUGCCAACCAGGGAGAUAGAAUUAGUAUCUUCAAUCUCCUUCGCUGUCGAUGCAGGAAGGCAAGAUCUACUACUUUCACUGAUCUGUUCUCCAGAGAACAUGACCUGUAUAAUGAACCUAAUUAUGCCUAAUGAUUAGGAAAAAUGAAUCAAAUGCUCCUAACUAGACAUGUGUGAAUGGUGUUUGCAUGAAUGCAAAAUUUUACUCUCCGAGAAUGAUCCCGCUUAGGUUGUCAUUACUCGAAGUUUAUUAAAGUCGUAUCACUGACGUGCUACAACGUCUUUUGUUCGGAUCACAUCUCUAAAUAAACGCUUGAUCAAAUUGCCCCUCACUGUAAACCUCAAAGUUUCAUCCAUUGGGACGUAAAAUUUGUACCAUCUUUCUCCCGCUGUAACCCAAGGGUAGAAAAUUUUGGUCUUUUCUCAAUCCUCAUCGAUCGCAAUUCAAGGAUGCAAAAUGUGAAGCUCUUUGGUCUUUCAUACCAAUCUCAGGGUGUCAUACCCAAAUGCCUAUGCACGAAUGAAGGAUUCUUCUCUCCAAAAAAACCCCUUUUUAUUACUUGGUGAUUAUUGCUUGCUUGUUUAUCUAAGCCUUGCCACCAACCUAUCAUCCUGUCAUUUUGUUCAAUGUUUUUGACAACAAAAUCAAAAAGAAAGUCCUAAUUUAGACUUUUCCUUCUCAGAUUUCCAACCUUUAAACCUGGUGCGUUCUAAACAACAGUCCUGUUUCAGGCUCCUAUAUUGUUUAGAAACUUCUAGAGUAAUAUGCAAAACUUCCCUUGUGAAAGUUUUAUUAGUCCAUUAAUCAUUAUUCCAAUGCAACAUGCUUGCAAAAAGCUCAUAACAAUGAAUAAGAAUAAAGUUAGUUUUGAGCAUAGCUCGAAAUGAAUAGUAAAGAAAGAUAACAAAGAAAUUGAUUGGGAAUGCGUAUCUUGGAAAAGAAUGAAGUAUUCCAAGAAUAACAAAUUCAAAAUAAAUAGUAUGGAGACGAGGUGCCCCAGAUGUCGCAGCUUGAAUUCUCUGUACAAACUUCUUGAAGACCAUUUUGAGUUUGACAUGUGUUUAGGAGAUCUACAUUACUCUGUCGAUGCCCCAAGAUGUCGCGUACCCUUUCCUGCUAACUAAGGCAUAUCAAGAUCACAGCAUGUCCCAUUCUAAUCAACAUUUGAGCUGCUCUGAUUACCUCAUGCCCAUUCUGACCAAUAUUUGAGCCGCCCUUUUCGGGUUUUCAACUCAAAUCCCCUUUGGUCUAAGGCGCCCUUUGUGGUUUUUCACCUUAGCCUCUCCACUUUUACUUUUUCCAUUUUUCAUUUUUUAUUUUUCACAUCUUUUUUUUUCUUUUUUUUUUUUGUGACUCAAAGUGCCCUUUGCAGGUUUUUACCUUGGUCCUCUCCUUCUUUAAGCGAAGCAUUUCUUAAUUGAUUCUGAGUUUACAGGAUUAGACAAGUUUUUACUAUCCGUCUCACUCAAAAUCAGUACUCCUCCAAAAAAGGUCUUCUUUACAAUAUAAGGACAUUCCCACUUUGGCACUCAUUUUUCUCUAAAAUCCUUUUGUAGAGGAAGGAUCUUUUUCAAUACCAGGUUUCCCUCGUGAAAUUUUCUGGGACGAACCUUUUUGUUGUAAGCUCACAUCAUCCGUUUUUUGUACAUCUGACCGUGACGAAUAGCCUUUUUCCUUCAAUUAAGUUCAACUGAUCUUAUCGAGAUUGGAUCUUCAUCCUACUUCAGCUCAGCCAAUACCCGGAGAAAAAGAAUUUCAACUUCAAUGGAAAACUGUGAUAAGCUAAAGAGAAAGGCAUUGCCCCAGCGAGGUUCUUUUUCUUUUUCUUUUUCUCUUUUUUUUUUCUUUUUCCCCUUUUUUUGUUUUUGUUUUUUUUAUUUUCUCUCUUUUUUUUUUGGAUUGAAUCUGCACUUAUAGGAUUAGGCAAGUCCUGGUCAUCUCUUUCGAUCAGAAUCAAUAUUAUUCCAGAUAAGGUCUUCCCCAUAACUUCCACUUUCAUUUUGUAUGCGAAAAGAUCUUCAUUGGCAUCAGGUUUCUCUCAUAGAGCCUUUUGGGGCGAAAUUUAACUAUAACGAGAAAAUUUUAGAUCUUCCUCUUCAAUUAGGAUCAAAUCUAACAAAAAUACGGAAAAAAUUACAACUUGACUUCAACGGAAUAAGCCAGAGAAGAAGGUAUUGCCCCGGUAAAGAAUUCUAACUACAUCGUUCAUGAUGUGAAUCUUGAACAUACUGCAGAUUUUUGACGUUGUGCUGUUGCUCAAAUUACAAUAUCAGUACUUAACUCACGUCCUGGUAUGACCAUGCGAUAACAUCUUUGAACUCUCGAAAUAACUUAAUAAGGUCUUGCUUCAUUUCUCCGGUUAUGCAUGUUCUCUUAAAGUCACAAUCUCCAUUGUCUCUUCAGGAGGUAAAAUUUGCUCUCUUUUUGCUCUACCAUCCUCAACAAGUCUGGAGAUAGGCUACGAUCUAUGUCAUCUUCAAAGUCAGGAGAUCCCUCUAAACACAUGUCUUGCUCAAAAAGAGAUUCUAAAUCUGUAGCAGUGUCAUUCAUGUCAUUGAUAUCUGGGGGCCCAUAAUAAAUAUCAAAGAAUAUACAAAAGAAUGUAUAGAUUUAUGAAGAACUAUCUAUACAAUAUGAUUAUGAAUGAAUGAAUGAUGUGGAAGAAAAUCCAAAAGAAUGAAAGAAUAACUAUUCAGACAGACUGAAAGAAUAUUGGUUCAAAAAUAUUCGCAAGGAUGCAUUUCAUUAAAAUAACGACAUUUAGACAUGAGCCUACUUCACAAAGGAAUUCUUAUUGCCUCUAGGCUAAAAGCAACAAGUGUGUUUUGAACAUUGCUCUAAAUAAGCCCUAAAUACUACAAAUAUUUCUUCCGCAGUUCGAUUGUUUAAAACACUCUCAGGUUUACAAAGGUGGAUAUCUAAUAAGGUCCAUUUUCGAUUGUGUCUUCAUCUAUGACAUUGAUGUGAACACUUCCCAACAUCUCUUCAUCCAUCGCAUUCACCUUAUUCUCAAUCAUGAUUGGGUAGCGGAUUUUCUGCAUUAGAUGAGUCAUCCAACUUGACAAUACCCAUGUUGAUGAAUUUUUCAACUAGCUUUUUGAAGGUAAUGCAAUUCUCUAUUAAGUGCCCCGUAAUUCCCGCGUGGUAGUCACAUUGCGCGUUCGCAUCAUACCACUUAGGAUACGGAGGUUGUGGAGGUUUUAAGUAAUGAGGAGCAACAACAUGCGCAUCGAACAAGCUUUGAUACAACUCCUUAUAGGACAUCGGAAUUGGUGUGAACUGGAGCUUCUCAGUACCUGGCUUCAUACCUGAUUCUUGUCUUGAUGAACCCUGCUGAUUAGUAACCACCUUUCUUGGCUGAUUCACCGUAAUCGAUUUGCUGUACGUGUUCAUGCUGUUCACCUCAUUUUCUUUUUCCUUUAGGGCUUACUUUCUAUUAUUUCCUCCAACAUCAAUCUUUCCGCUCCUAAUAGCACUUUCAAUCAUCUCACCACUCAUAACUAUGUCAGAAAAGCUUUUUGUGGCACUUCCCAACAUAUGUGUGAUGAAUGGGGCCUUCAACGUAUUUAUAAAGAGCAUCGUCAUUUCUCUUUCAAGGAGCGGUGGUUGGACCUGCACUGCCACCUCCCUCCACCUCUGAGCGUAUUGUCUAAAACCUUCAUUCGACUUUUUCUCCAUGUUCUGUAAAGUGAUCCUGUCAGGAACCAUUUCUGUCACAUGACUGUACUCCUUCAUAAAAGCCUGUGCCAAAUCCCUCCAGGAACUAAUCUUAGCACGGCUCAAUUGAUUAUACCAUUUAGACGCUACCCCUGUGAGGCUAUCCUGAAAAUAGUGUAUCAAUAACUGCUCAUUAUUGACAUACCCAGCCAUUCGUCUACAAAACAUGGUAAUGUGGGCCUCAGGGCAACUGGUCCUAUUAUACUUCUCGAAUUCUGGCAUUUUGAACUUGUGAGGUAGCACCAAAUCUGGUACCAAACUCAGAUCUUUAGCAUCAAUCCCACCAUAUCUCUCAGUACUUUCCAUUGCCUUGAACUUCUCUUCAACCCACUUCCAUCUUUCUUCAAAUUGCUUUGGCAAUUCUUCCUUUGCUUUUUCCUUUUCGACCACCUCAUCGAAGUCAGGGACUACAAGAUUGACAGGAAUAUUCUCAGGGCUAGAGCCUAAUCCAGUUUGGUAAUUCAUCGCCUUUGAAGUAUCGGCCUGAAAUUGCUGAGGCCUAAUGGUAACAGAAGAUUUACGCGGGCACACUUCCGCUUGGUGCUGCACAUGUAGAGGAGUGAAGCCUAGAGGAUACUGGAGUCCAUCCUCGCCUUCCUAUUCCAUAUUUGUUACAGGGCUCUUUCCCUUAUCCUUUCCUUCAGUCAACAAUCGCGUUAACUUUGUUAUCAUACUUCCUUGUGAUUCCUCCAUUUUAUUCAUCAAACUUUGUUGAAUCUUCUCGAGUUGUUCCUUCAUUUGCUGCUGAAGCUGAUCUUGCAUUUCUUUUUGGAACCCUUCGAGCUUUUCCAACCUUUGGUCCAUAUUUUUUUAUUUCGCUCUUGUACAGUAACGGUGCUGAGUUGGCUGGUUGGUUUCCAGGUUAACUGAGGAAUAAUUUUAAUUGAUUAGGCUCUUUUGGUGGAUUUUAGUGCAUAUGAUGAGAUUAAUGCAAAUGCAUGAGAUGAAUACAAAAAGAGACGUUGAUUCUGAUUCAAUUCCAUUUAGAAAGCUUUAAUAGAAGACAAAUUUCUUUACAUAAAGCAGAUAUAUAUAUACGGCUUUGCCCUCAUACUCCAGGUGAAAACAUCUUCUCUUUCUUCAUCUGGAUGCCAAGAUAAAUCUUGAGAAUUCUUCAAAAGGGGUAUCUCCUCUACCUCUUUUUUGCUUGAUCUUGGUUAUAAUCCAACGUCUGCCCAUCCCCGUAAUGCUCCUCAGCUUCUUUAAGGCAGUUGGAAUGUCAGAAAUUCUUGAACAAUCAGCUUGACCUUGAGGCACGAAGUAAAGUCAUGUAUUCCUCCAUCACCCUUCUUGCGUUUCUCAGAAUAUAUUUAGACAGCCGUAUUAUCUUCCACUUUAUCAAGAAACCCAUUUCCCACGAUAAACUUUCUGUCUAGCAAUCGAAUACGAAACAACGCCUUUUUAUAAUGGAAUGCCAUGUAAUUGUAAUGCCAUGCAAUCAGAGUAAAACACAACAAGUCAGUAACAAUUAAGUACAAUACAACCAAGAAAUAGUAAAAACUCCUAAUUAGGUGUCUACUAUGGUUCAAAGUAAUUCUACCUAAGGUGGGUUCCUAUGGUUCACUAUAUGUGGUUUGGUUUCUAGGGCAAAGGUACCCGAACCAGCAGAUUCCUCGAUCCUCACCCAUUAUAGGCUCAUACAGACCGAGUUCAGUUCAGGGGAAUACAUUUCCCUAUGGCUGCACGGAGAUGAAAAUCUCACGAAGACAUAGGUACAGAUGUAUUCCGAAAGCGAUCCACUAUCCUAUACGGAGGUGAAAACCUCACGAAUGACUAGUUUCUCACUUCCACUUAGAGGGGUAAAAUUGACCAUGAAAUGCAAAAAUACAAAUAAACCGACAGACCUAAACCAACCAAACAAGCAUAUGACAAUUAAAACUAAUGAAUGCAAAGAGAAAAUCAGGUUUUAAAACAACUUCAAUUUUCGACAAAAAAGACAAAAGAUAAUCAAUUCAUGGCUCGACUCUCUAAUGGUCGCCAAGCUGUCGAAACUAUUUUUUGAAAACAAAAAUAAGUUAUCGACUUUAAAAACAAAAAUUGGAGUCGCCACCGAUCCUUUAUUAAGGUGUGAUCGGCUCACCAAAAAAACAAUUCUGGUCUGCAAAAUUUGAGAAAACAGGUUCGGGAGUCAGUUACGCACGAUGAAGGGUUAGCACCCUCGUGACGCCUAAAAAUAGGUACCAAAUUUGAUUAUUUCAUGUCUUGAUGUCGAAAAUUUGAAAAGAUUUUAAAUAGAAAUUUUUAACCCGUGAAUGGAUUUAAAAUGACAAAACAUUCUCAUUUCAAAGAAAUAAAACACCACACCCAGUAAGUUAGGGCACAAUAUUUUAUAUUUUCAAAAUACCGAAUAUUGCUUUUUGUUUUAGAAAUUCUUAUUUCGAGAUAACGAAAUGUCACGACCAGUAAGUUAGGACCCGACAUUUUGAAUUCCCGAGAAUAAGGUUUUAUUUGAAAAUUGCGAAUUUAUUGUAAAAUAAAUACUUAGCUUUCUAAAUUCAUCGAAAAAUGAUCACGAUCCAGUAAGUUAGGACACGAUCUUUCUCGAGAAUCAUGAUUGCCAAAUAUUUAAAUUUUUUUAAAAAAGAAUGAUGAUUUAAGUAUUUUGACCAAAAUCAAAAUAUAUUUUUCUUUAAAAGUAUGAUAAGUUGUUGAUGCAUGUACAUACAAAGAUCACGAAAAUGAAUCAAUAAUGCAAUGUACAUGCAUUUUAAAAAAUAAUAAACAUAAUAAUGUAUAAACAUAAUAUAUUGGUAAUUAUCAAAAAUAAGGACAUAUGUAUAUAUAAAAAAUUAAAAUUAUAUUUAUAAAGGUAUAGAAUAAUAUAUAUCUAUGUAUACGUAUAUAUAAAAAUAUUUGGAUCAUAAAAUAUAGAAAACAUAUAUAUAUUAUAAAAGUAUAAACGCAUACAUAUGUAUAUAAGGCUAAGAAAAAAUAAAAUAAUAAUAAAAUCUAUGAUAUGUACAUAUUAUAAAAUUGUAUAAACAUAUGAAUUAUAAAACAUGAAAAUAUAAAUAAUUAUAAAAUAUGAAUGUAUAUAAUAUAUAUAUAUAAACUAUAUACAAAAAAAUGUAAUAAUAAUAAUAACAAAAUACGUACUACAUAUAUAUUUAAAACAUUUAAUAUGUAUAUAUUAUAUAUAUGAGCACACAUAUAUACAUACAAUAAUAAUAUAAUAAUAAUUAACAGUAAUAAACAAUAAAAAUAACAUAAUAAAAAUAAACUAAAAAAACAAAUGAAGGACUAAAUUAAAAUAUCAAACAGAAGUUGAAUGCCGAAUUUUGAAAAUAAAAACAAGAAAUGGAGUAAAUUAAAACAGGUGCAAUAGAUAAAGGACCGAAAAAGUAAUUUUCCAACCCACCCUAAAACGCUGCACACUAUUGGACCAAUUUGAAACGAAAAUAAAAGGUGCAGUCAGAUUUAGAACAAAUAAAUAAGUUAAUUUGAAAAGAACCAUAAAUCAUGAGGAUUAAUGGCGAAAAUAGUCCAUUUUGAACCCUAUAUACUCCCAUUUUAAAACCCAAAAAUCAAUUCCCUUCUGCCAUUUUUGUGGUGUGCCGCAACUCCUCUCAAAACCCCUCCUCUGCCGUUCCAAAUUCCUCCCUUUUCCGACCAGAUAACGGCUAACGAGAGCGCCCAACGAAUCUCUCGACGGUAAGUCCUCUUCCCCUCACCCUUUUCGUGUUUUGUUUUAAGAAAAUAAAAAGAAAAGAACCAAAAUAACUUAAAAAAAAGGCAGUAAAAGAACAGAGAAAAAUAAAACAAAAUCCUACCUUCAAAAGUAUUUUUCUAUAUAUUUCCUUUUUGAUUUCGGUACAAAAAAUUUCCUCCCCUUUUACAGAUUCAAAAAUCGCUUUUGACGUACCCAAAAUUUACAAAAUUAUUUUUCUUUUUUUCUUUUUCUCUCUACUGCCCCCUGAUCAAUCCCUCUGUUUUUUGAUUUAUUGCAGGUGGAAUCGGCGUUAUGCGGAGUUGCUGAUCGUGGGUGAAACGACGUGGGUGAUGGGCGGUUGCUGCAACGUGGGAACGUGCGGCGCUGAGGCUACCUGCUGCUUAGGGCUUCUGUUAUCUUAGGCCAAUUGGGCCUUGUAAUUAAGUUAGGUUGUAUUUUGGCCUUUGGGUCAGUUUUAGUGAGUAUAGUUGGGCCCGGGCAAUAAUUGGGUAUUACAAUUCUAAAAAUAAAAAUGAUUCAAACAAAAAAUUAAAAAUUAAUUUUCGAAUACCAAAAUCUUGUGCCAACCGGCACAAAUUGAUAAAAAUAAAAAAUUAGAUGAAAUGGACAAUAACACAAGUAAAUUUUGACUGAAACAAAAUUUAGACUAGUUGAUGCUUUGAUGUAGAGCCAUUGGCUUCCCAAGAAAUUUUUAAAAUUUUCAUUAAACCCUUAAACUUUUUUGAAAAUUUCAAUUAAGUUUUGUUAAAAUUUUUAAAAAUUCUCGUAAAAG
RNAcentral lists this long non-coding RNA (9630 nucleotides) under Gossypium barbadense (sea-island cotton). Its description in RNAcentral is "long non-coding RNA (GBAR_LNC019252)". The record is from RNAcentral. Lineage: Eukaryota; Viridiplantae; Streptophyta; Magnoliopsida; Malvales; Malvaceae.